GAGAUAGGCAGAUACAGACAAUCACAAAUUGCCUGGGCAGAAACCUCUGUGGGAACAGUGCCCAGUUAUAGUAAAAAAUCAGCCAACAGAAGAAAAAGAGAAAAAGGCAGGAAGAAAGAAGAGGUUUACUAAUCGAGAGAGGCACUUAUGUGGCCAGGGACUACUCACUGCUGUAUGCCCCGAGGACUACAUAGCUCACACUUCAUAUACACUGGAUGUUCAAUAAAUACUUAAUAAUUCAACAAAAUUUUUGCUUUGUUAAGCAACUGAAGAAGACUUUUUGAGCUGAAAAUGAAGUAUCGGUGGUCUGAAAAAGGCCUAACAGAAUUGACUUAUAACCGUAUUUUAGGUAAGACCUAAACUAUGAAUGCCUUGUUUUCCAAAAGAUUAUCAUUAUUAAUAUAUAAACUUUAAAAUGCCACA
This is a long non-coding RNA of Neofelis nebulosa (Clouded leopard), 423 nucleotides long. RefSeq lists it as uncharacterized. The record is from RefSeq and is a predicted model, not a curated record. NCBI's taxonomy places the organism in Eukaryota, Metazoa, Chordata, Mammalia, Carnivora, Felidae. The transcript is spliced from 3 exons.